AUGUACAUUCCUAUAGCAUAGCGUUAACGCACCAUAUCCCAUUAGAACUCCACCAUCAAGCGUGAUUGGGUUAGAGUAGUACUGGGAUGGGUGACCACCUAGGAAGUCCUAGUGUUUUACAUG
This is a non-coding RNA of Picea glauca (white spruce), 123 nucleotides long. The record is from Rfam. NCBI's taxonomy places the organism in Eukaryota, Viridiplantae, Streptophyta, Pinopsida, Pinales, Pinaceae.